RNAcentral lists this ribosomal RNA (301 nucleotides) under uncultured bacterium. RNAcentral describes it as "partial 16S ribosomal RNA". It matches the Rfam family "Bacterial small subunit ribosomal RNA", at positions 509 to 808 of the family's 1533-position model. The record is from RNAcentral.
CAGUCGCCGCGGUAAUACGAAGGGUGCAAGCGUUAAUCGGAAUUACUGGGCGUAAAGCGUGCGUAGGCGGUGAGUUAAGUCUGCUGUGAAAUCCCCGGGCUCAACCUGGGAAUGGCAGUGGAUACUGGCUCGCUAGAGUGUGUCAGAGGAUGGUGGAAUUCCCGGUGUAGCGGUGAAAUGCGUAGAGAUCGGGAGGAACAUCAGUGGCGAAGGCGGCCAUCUGGGACAACACUGACGCUGAGGCACGAAAGCGUGGGGAGCAAACAGGAUUAGAUACCCCGUAGUCCCUGUCUCUUAUACA